Molecule: ribosomal RNA, 492 nt
Filed under: uncultured bacterium
Lineage: Bacteria
Description: partial 16S ribosomal RNA
Rfam family: Bacterial small subunit ribosomal RNA
Source: RNAcentral
AGUGAACGCUGGCGGUAGGCCUAACACAUGCAAGUCGAACGGCAGCACAGUAAGAGCUUGCUCUUACGGGUGGCGAGUGGCGGACGGGUGCGGAAUACAUCGGAAUCUACUUUUUCGAGGGGGCUAACGUAGGGAAACUUACGCUAAUACCGCAUACGACCUACGGGUGAAAGCAGGGGAUCUUCGGACCUUGCGCGAGUGAAUGAGCCGAUGUCGGAUUAGCUAGUUGGCGGGGUAAAGGCCCACCAAGGCGACGAUCCGUAGCUGGUCUGAGAGGAUGAUCAGCCACACUGGAACUGAGACACGGUCCAGACUCCUACGGGAGGCAGCAGUGGGGAAUAUUGGACAAUGGGCGCAAGCCUGAUCCAGCCAUACCGCGUGGGUGAAGAAGGCCUUCGGGUUGUAAAGCCCUUUUGUUGGGAAAGAAAAGCAGCAGGUUAAUACCCCGCUGUUCUGACGGUACCCAAAGAAUAAGCACCGGCUAACUUCGUG